AUCACUUCUCGGCCUUUUGGCUAAGAUCAAGUGUAGUAAAAAUGCUGGCCUUUACCUGUUUGCAGGUCUUUUAAAUAAUAAAAUGCAAAUGAACCUUGCUUUUAAUGGACAUUCUGAACAAAAUUCUUCCAAAUAUAUCACUCUUUAUAUUUAAGAGUGAUAUAAUCCAAU
RNAcentral lists this small nuclear RNA (171 nucleotides) under Cervus elaphus hippelaphus. RNAcentral's name for it is "U2 spliceosomal RNA". It matches the Rfam family "U2 spliceosomal RNA". Rfam says of the family: U2 is a small nuclear RNA (snRNA) component of the spliceosome (involved in pre-mRNA splicing). Complementary binding between U2 snRNA (in an area lying towards the 5' end but 3' to hairpin I) and the branchpoint sequence (BPS) of the intron results the bulging out of an unpaired adenosine, on the BPS, which initiates a nucleophilic attack at the intronic 5' splice site, thus starting the first of two transesterification reactions that mediate splicing. The record is from Rfam by way of RNAcentral. Lineage: Eukaryota; Metazoa; Chordata; Mammalia; Artiodactyla; Cervidae. RNAcentral also lists the same sequence under 1 other name.